UACGGAGGGUGCGAGCGUUGUCCGGAUUUAUUUGGGUUUAAAGGGUGCGUAGGUGGGUUAAUAAGUCAGUGGUGAAAUACGGUUGCUCAACAAUCGAGGUGCCAUUGAUACUGUUAAUCUUGAAACAAGUGGAGGUUGCCGGAAUGGAUGGUGUAGCGGUGAAAUGCAUAGAUAUCAUCCAGAACACCGAUUGCGAAGGCAGGUGGCUACGAUUUAUUUGACACUGAGGCACGAAAAGCAUGGGGGAGCAAAACAGG
RNAcentral lists this ribosomal RNA (257 nucleotides) under uncultured bacterium. RNAcentral's name for it is "partial 16S ribosomal RNA". It matches the Rfam family "Bacterial small subunit ribosomal RNA", at positions 524 to 776 of the family's 1533-position model. The record is from RNAcentral.